CCUACGGGGGGCAGCAGUGGGGAAUAUUGGACAAUGGGGGCAACCCUGAUCCAGCCAUGCCGCGUGUGUGAAGAAGGCCCUCGGGUUGUAAAGCACUUUCAGUGAGGAAGAACGCCUGGUGGUGAAUACCCAUCAGGAAAGACAUCACUCACAGAAGAAGCACCGGCUAACUCCGUGCCAGCAGCCGCGGUAAUACGGAGGGUGCGAGCGUUAAUCGGAAUUACUGGGCGUAAAGCGCGCGUAGGUGGCUUGAUAAGCCGGUUGUGAAAGCCCCGGGCUCAACCUGGGAACGGCAUCCGGAACUGUCAAGCUAGAGUGCAGGCGAGGAAGGUAGAAUUCCCGGUGUAGCGGUGAAAUGCGUAGAGAUCGGGAGGAAUACCAGUGGCGAAGGCGGCCUUCUGGACUGACACUGACACUGAGGUGCGAAAGCGUGGGUAGCAAACAGGAUUAGAUACCCCAGUAGUC
Molecule: ribosomal RNA, 465 nt
Filed under: Vreelandella stevensii
Lineage: Bacteria; Pseudomonadati; Pseudomonadota; Gammaproteobacteria; Oceanospirillales; Halomonadaceae
Description: partial 16S ribosomal RNA
Rfam family: Bacterial small subunit ribosomal RNA
Source: RNAcentral